This 506-nucleotide ribosomal RNA is filed under the name uncultured bacterium. RNAcentral's name for it is "partial 16S ribosomal RNA". It matches the Rfam family "Bacterial small subunit ribosomal RNA", at positions 29 to 523 of the family's 1533-position model. The record is from RNAcentral.
AGUGAACGCUGGCGGUAGGCCUAACACAUGCAAGUCUAACGGCAGCACAGGAGAGCUUGCUCUCUGGGUGGCGAGUGGCGGACGGGUGAGGAAUACAUCGGAAUCUACUUUUUCGUGGGGGAUAACGUAGGGAAACUUACGCUAAUACCGCAUACGACCUACGGGUGAAAGCAGGGGAUCUUCGGACCUUGCGCGAUUGAAUGAGCCGAUGUCGGAUUAGCUAGUUGGCGGGGUAAAGGCCCACCAAGGCGACGGUCCGUAGCUGGUCUGAGAGGAUGAACAGCCACACUGGAACUGAGACACGGUCCAGACUCCUACGGGAGGCAGCAGUGGGGAAUAUUGGACAAUGGGCGCAAGCCUGAUCCAGCCAUACCGCGUGGGUGAAGAAGGCCUUCGGGUUGUAAAGCCCUUUUGUUGGGAAAGAAAUCCAGCUGGUUAAUACCCGGUUGGGAUGACGGUACCCAAAGAAUAAGCACCGGCUAACUUCGUGCCAGCCGCCGCAGUAA